RNAcentral lists this ribosomal RNA (426 nucleotides) under uncultured eukaryote. Its description in RNAcentral is "SSU rRNA". It matches the Rfam family "Eukaryotic small subunit ribosomal RNA", at positions 592 to 1018 of the family's 1831-position model. The record is from RNAcentral.
CAAUAGCGUAUAUUAAAAUUGUUGCGGUUAAAACGCUCGUAGUUGGACAUUUGUAGGAGACUGCCGGUCUACCCCAGUGGUCAGUACUUGGCAUGUCUCUUGCACCUUCCUGGUGGAAGUGUUCGUACUUUAUUGUGCGGGGCGUAAUCCAGAACUUUUACUUUGAGGAAAUGAGAGUGCUUCAAGCAGGCAUCCGUCGUGAAUACGUUAGCAUGGAAUAACACUAUAGACCACGUUCUAGAGCUGUUGGUUUUUUAGGUACGAGGUAAUGAAAAGAAGGGAUAGUUGGGGGCAUUCGUAUUUAACUGUCAGAGGUGAAAUUCUUGGAUCUUUAAAAAGAACGAACUACUGCGAAAGCAUCUGCCCAGGAUGUUUCUAUUAAAUCAAGAACGAAAAGUUAGGGGAUCGAAGAUGAUUAGAUACCGU